RNAcentral lists this ribosomal RNA (600 nucleotides) under uncultured bacterium. Its description in RNAcentral is "bacterial SSU rRNA". It matches the Rfam family "Bacterial small subunit ribosomal RNA", at positions 735 to 1339 of the family's 1533-position model. The record is from RNAcentral.
CUUUACUGACGCUAAAGCUCGAAGGUGCGGGUAUCGAACAGGAUUAGAUACCCUGGUAGUCCGCACGGUAAACGAUGGAUGCCCGCUGUUUGCGAUAUACUGUGAGCGGCCAAGAGAAAUCGUUAAGCAUCCCACCUGGGGAGUACGCCGGCAACGGUGAAACUCAAAGGAAUUGACGGGGGCCCGCACAAGCGGAGGAACAUGUGGUUUAAUUCGAUGAUACGCGAGGAACCUUACCCGGGCUUGAACUGCAGGAGAACGAUUCAGAGAUGAUGAGGUCCUUCGGGACUCCUGUGGAGGUGCUGCAUGGUUGUCGUCAGCUCGUGCCGUGAGGUGUCGGCUUAAGUGCCAUAACGAGCGCAACCCCUUUCUUCAGUUGCCAUCAGGUCGAGCUGGGCACUCUGGAGACACUGCCACCGUAAGGUGUGAGGAAGGUGGGGAUGACGUCAAAUCAGCACGGCCCUUACGUCCGGGGCUACACACGUGUUACAAUGGGUGGUACAGAGAGCUGGCUGCCUGCAAAGUCAGCCGAAUCAUGAAAGCCAUCCUCAGUUCGGAUUGGGGUCUGCAACCCGACCCCAUGAAGCUGGAUUCGCUAGU